AUUGAACGCUGGCGGCAGGCCUAACACAUGCAAGUCGAACGAGGGGCGGACGGGUGUGUAAUGUCUGGGAAACUGCCCGAGGGAGGGGGAUAACUACGGGAAACGGUAGCUAAUACCGCAUACCAUGGGAUGUGCCCAGAUGGGUUUAGCGAGUAGGUGGGGUAACGGCUCACCUGGGCGACGAUCCCUAGCUGGUCUGAGAGGAUGAACAGCCACACUGGAACUGAGACACGGCCCAGACUCCUACGGGAGGCAGCAGUGGGGAAUAUUGCACAAUGGGCGCAAGCCUGAUACAGCCAUGCCGCGUGUAUGAAGAAGGCCUUCGGGUUGUAAAGUACUUUCAGCGAGGAGGCGUUACCCGCAGAAGAAGCACCGGCUAACUCCGUGCCAGCAGCCGCGGUAAUAC
RNAcentral lists this ribosomal RNA (406 nucleotides) under uncultured bacterium. RNAcentral describes it as "partial 16S ribosomal RNA". It matches the Rfam family "Bacterial small subunit ribosomal RNA", at positions 29 to 526 of the family's 1533-position model. The record is from RNAcentral.